AAUGCUGCUUAUUGAGGAGAGAGAGUAUCCUUUGAUUGCUCAUUUCCUUUUCUUCCUUUGUUUUUUAUUUUAUUUUUGACAAAGAAAAAAUUGGGUUAGAACAUCAAAUAAUUUUAACUCAAUGGUACUGAGAUUAGUCUCUGAGUAUGUGAUGUUUUGAAACAAUUAGCUUUUUAAAUCAAUGGUAAUGAAGUUGUCUCGGAAGAUAUGAGGUCUAAGUUCGAGCUCCCAUAGGAGCCAAAUAAACCAAAAUAUUGGAUUAAAACAGCCUAACAGCAUUUCUUCUUCUGCUGCUGCUUCUUCCUCCUCUUCUUGCAGUAACCAUUUUGGAUGGAUUUGGAUUUUUCUUAAUUUUGGAUUGAACAGUAAAAUUGUAGCAUUGAGUGAUAA
RNAcentral lists this unclassified non-coding RNA (390 nucleotides) under Hevea brasiliensis (rubber tree). Lineage: Eukaryota; Viridiplantae; Streptophyta; Magnoliopsida; Malpighiales; Euphorbiaceae. The record is from RNAcentral.